CUAUAAUAGCAUAUUUUAUGUUUAAUAAUUAAAUAAAAAAAGAGAAUGAGAAAAUAAAAGUACAUGCAUAUGGGUAGAGGAUGACAGACGCUGUAGGUACGGAGAGCUCAAGACCCUGAUUAAAGAAAUAAUGAAAGCACAUGAGAACAAAAUUCAAAAAACUAAAAAGAGAAUGAUAAUAUGAAAAAGAAGAGAGAAAUAAAGACAGAGAUAUAGUAAAAGAAAAAAAAAGACAGAGAUGAUGGUCCAUCUUUUCGGUGGGCCCACACUCCUAAAUUAAAAAGAUGACAGUCCAUCUUCUCGGUAGGACUUAUACGCCCAAAUGUAAAGAGAUGACUGUCCAUCUUCCAAAAAAAUAAAAAGAAGAAAAAUAAAAACAGAGGUAUAGUAAAAGAAAAAAAAUAUAAAAAGACAGAGAUGAGGGUCCAUCUUCUCGGUGGGGCCCACACUUCUAAAUUAAAGAG
This 464-nucleotide long non-coding RNA is filed under the name Ananas comosus (pineapple). RNAcentral's name for it is "long non-coding RNA (ACOM_LNC003123)". Lineage: Eukaryota; Viridiplantae; Streptophyta; Magnoliopsida; Poales; Bromeliaceae. The record is from RNAcentral.